GUCUUGGCGUGGUGGGAUUCAUAAUGUUGCCCCCUGUGAUGACACUGCACGUUUUAGAAAGAAAAAAACAACACAAUUUUUAGAUGUUUUUGGGACUCAGUUUCAUCACUUGAAGAUGGAUGACGACUGCCAAUCAAUCAGGUAUCAACCCCAUCAUCUUCGUCAUCAUCCUCUUCAUCAUCAUCGUAGUCAUUAUGAUCAUAAUCAUCAUCACUGAAUGCCUGUGUUGCCACCAGUCUCUCCAGCUUAGCUGCAGUUUGACCGUGGCCGUGUGUCUCACAUCACGCAUGGUUUGAUGUCCUGGCAGACGCUCUGGGGAUGGUGAUGGUGGUGAUGGUGGUAGUAGGAGCCGCCAGCCGAGGGGUGGAAGGACGAGAUGCCGUUAAAGUUUAACACAAAAUCUUUCCUGUCGCACACCGAGGAAUGGCUCUGGUAGCGUGGAAUCCCCACUGCAGAGGAGACGGACCCUGGUGUUCCUAUAAAACACUGUAUAGAAUUCCUGAGGACCAUCAUUUGAGCACUUUACUGUCCGCGAGAGACGUGAAAACCCUCAUCUGAAUGACGUGAGCCUUACAGAGCAAACAAGCACAUCAUCAGGGGUCAUCACAGGUCAUCUUCAGGUCAGAGGUCAGCAGCCAGUCCUAGAGCAGUUAGAAGAGCAAUGUUACUGUCAUGGUAAUUAUGACGGAAGAUUGGCCUCACUGGGACCUUUAAACCUGACUAUGAUUGCUGGUAAAGUUUGGAGAGUGACUGCUGUCAACACUGAGCUGAAAAGUAACUGCUCUGUAACCCAAAAAUGUCUGAGAAAUAUCAUCAUCUUUCAAGUGAAAAGUUAUUUAAGUUCUAUUUAAGAGCUUUUAGUUGUUAAUUGAAAAUUAGAGUAUGUUUCUCAUUUGAUCAUAAUUCAAUAUGUUGGCCGGUUUAGCAGUUCUGUAUACAAGCAGUCCCUUAUAUAAAAAAAACUUUAACAGUACAAGUAAACGUCAAUAAUCUAGAUGUACUCGUUGUCUAGUGUAAGUCCCACUAUUACAAUUAAUUGUGGAGUGACAGCGGGUUAAAAUGUUGAGGUUUUUCUGUUAUCCAUCCAUCCAUCCAUCUUGAUCCGCU
This is a long non-coding RNA of Perca flavescens (yellow perch), 1107 nucleotides long. RefSeq lists it as uncharacterized. The record is from RefSeq and is a predicted model, not a curated record. Lineage: Eukaryota; Metazoa; Chordata; Actinopteri; Perciformes; Percidae. The transcript has 6 exons.